GGGUAAUAGUUUAAUUGGUAAAACGAUUGCUUUGCAAGCACUUAAUCCGUGUUCGAUUCACGGUUACUCCA
RNAcentral lists this transfer RNA (71 nucleotides) under Bacillus cereus. RNAcentral's name for it is "tRNA-Ala". It matches the Rfam family "tRNA". Rfam says of the family: Transfer RNA (tRNA) molecules are approximately 80 nucleotides in length. Their secondary structure includes four short double-helical elements and three loops (D, anti-codon, and T loops). Further hydrogen bonds mediate the characteristic L-shaped molecular structure. tRNAs have two regions of fundamental functional importance: the anti-codon, which is responsible for specific mRNA codon recognition, and the 3' end, to which the tRNAs corresponding amino acid is attached (by aminoacyl-tRNA synthetases). tRNAs cope with the degeneracy of the genetic code in two manners: having more than one tRNA (with a specific anti-codon) for a particular amino acid; and 'wobble' base-pairing, i.e. permitting non-standard base-pairing at the 3rd anti-codon position. The record is from RNAcentral. Lineage: Bacteria; Bacillati; Bacillota; Bacilli; Caryophanales; Bacillaceae.